AGAUGAAGAGAGACUGAGACUCAGACAGAGUCAAGCAGUUGCCCAAGGCCGCAGAGUUGACCCCACCACUCUGAUUGCAAGGAUGAGUUUGUGACUGAGAUCUGGCCCAUCACAGUAAAGCAUACUUUGGAUCCAGGCUGAAGGAUCACCUUCCAUCUGUGACAUGUCAGGAUAUAGCCAAAAAUCAAACAGCAAGCAUAGAACCAUGGGGUGGCUCUCAAGAUUCUGCUUGGACAUUGCCUACAUAACUCCCACUCCAAUUCCAUCAGCC
Molecule: non-coding RNA, 271 nt
Organism: Macaca mulatta (Rhesus monkey)
Lineage: Eukaryota; Metazoa; Chordata; Mammalia; Primates; Cercopithecidae
Source: RefSeq, a predicted model, not a curated record